UAGGGAAUCUUCCACAAUGGACGAAAGUCUGAUGGAGCAACGCCGCGUGAGUGAAGAAGGUUUUCGGAUCGUAAAGCUCUGUUGUUGGUGAAGAAGGAUAGAGGCAGUAACUGGUCUUUAUUUGACGGUAAUCAACCAGAAAGUCACGGCUAACUACGUGCCAGCAGCCGCGGUAAUACGUAGGUGGCAAGCGUUGUCCGGAUUUAUUGGGCGUAAAGCGAGCGCAGGCGGAAUGAUAGGUCUGAUGUGAAAGCCCACGGCUCAACCGUGGAACUGCAUCGGAAACUGUCAUUCUUGAGUGCAGAAGAGGAGAGUGGAACUCCAUGUGUAGCGGUGGAAUGCGUAGAUAUAUGGAAGAACACCAGUGGCGAAGGCGGCUCUCUGGUCUGCAAACUGACGCUGAGGCUCGAAAGCAUGGGUAGCGAACAGGAUUAGAUACCCUGGUAGUCCAUGCCGUAAACGAUGAGCGCUAGGUGUUGGGGACUUUCCGGUGCCUCAGUGCCGCAGCAAACGCAUUAAGCGCUCCGCCU
RNAcentral lists this ribosomal RNA (530 nucleotides) under uncultured bacterium. RNAcentral's name for it is "partial 16S ribosomal RNA". It matches the Rfam family "Bacterial small subunit ribosomal RNA", at positions 355 to 874 of the family's 1533-position model. The record is from RNAcentral.